RNAcentral lists this ribosomal RNA (496 nucleotides) under uncultured bacterium. RNAcentral's name for it is "partial 16S ribosomal RNA". It matches the Rfam family "Bacterial small subunit ribosomal RNA", at positions 28 to 506 of the family's 1533-position model. The record is from RNAcentral.
GAUGAACGCUGGCGGCGUGCCUAAUACAUGCAAGUCGAGCGAACAGACGAGGAGCUUGCUCCUCUGACGUUAGCGGCGGACGGGUGAGUAACACGUGGAUAACCUACCUAUAAGACUGGGAUAACUUCGGGAAACCGGAGCUAAUACCGGAUAAUAUAUUGAACCGCAUGGUUCAAUAGUGAAAGACGGUUUUGCUGUCACUUAUAGAUGGAUCCGCGCCGCAUUAGCUAGUUGGUAAGGUAACGGCUUACCAAGGCAACGAUGCGUAGCCGACCUGAGAGGGUGAUCGGCCAAACGGGAACUGAGACACGGUCCAGCCUCCUACGGGAGGCAGCAGUAGGGAAUCUUCCGAAAUGGGCGAAAGCCUGACGGAGCAACGCCGCGGAAGUGAUGAAGGUCUUCGGAUCGUAAAACUCUGUUAUUAGGGAAGAACAAAUGUGUAAGUAACUAUGCAAGUCUUGACGGUACCUAAUCAGAAAGCCACGGCUAACUACGU